This is a ribosomal RNA of Cricetulus griseus (Chinese hamster), 120 nucleotides long. The record is from Ensembl. NCBI's taxonomy places the organism in Eukaryota, Metazoa, Chordata, Mammalia, Rodentia, Cricetidae.
GCUUAUGGCAAUACCAACCUGAAAUGUACCUCAUCUUGUCUGAUCUAGUAAGAUAAGCAGGGUGAGGCCUGGUUAGUACUUGGAUGGGAAACAACCUGGGAAUACUGGGUGCUGUAGGCA